GAUGAACGCUGGCGGCGUGCCUAAUACAUGCAAGUAGAACGCUGAAGGAGGAGCUUGCUCUUCUGGAUGAGUUGCGAACGGGUGAGUAACGCGUAGGUAACCUGCCUGGUAGCGGGGGAUAACUAUUGGAAACGAUAGCUAAUACCGCAUGACAACAGUUAUUGCAUGAUAACUGUUUAAAAGGGGCAACUGCUCCACUACCAGAUGGACCUGCGUUGUAUUAGCUAGUUGGUGAGGUAACGGCUCACCAAGGCGACGAGACAUAGCCGACCUGAGAGGGUGAUCGGCCACACUGGGACUGAGACACGGCCCAGACUCCUACGGGAGGCAGCAGUAGGGAAUCUUCGGCAAUGGACGGAAGUCUGACCGAGCAACGCCGCGUGAGUGAAGAAGGUUUUCGGAUCGUAAAGCUCUGUUGUAAGAGAAGAACGAGUGUGAGAGUGGAAAGUUCACACUGUGACGGUAGCUUACCAGAAAGGGACGGCUAACUACGUG
Molecule: ribosomal RNA, 495 nt
Filed under: uncultured bacterium
Lineage: Bacteria
Description: partial 16S ribosomal RNA
Rfam family: Bacterial small subunit ribosomal RNA
Source: RNAcentral